This 326-nucleotide ribosomal RNA is filed under the name uncultured eukaryote. RNAcentral describes it as "partial 18S ribosomal RNA". It matches the Rfam family "Eukaryotic small subunit ribosomal RNA", at positions 1470 to 1796 of the family's 1831-position model. The record is from RNAcentral.
CCCUUAGAUGUUCUGGGCUGCACGCGCGCUACACUGAUGCACUCAACGAGUUUACGACCUUGCCCGAUAGGGUUGGGUAAUCUUUUUAAAAUGCAUCGUGAUGGGGAUAGAUUAUUGCAAUUAUUAAUCUUCAACGAGGAAUUCCUAGUAAGCGCGAGUCAUCAGCUCGUGCUGAUUACGUCCCUGCCCUUUGUACACACCGCCCGUCGCUCCUACCGAUUGAGUGCUCAGGUGAAUAAUUCGGACUGCAGCAAUGUUUGGAUCCCGAACGUUGCAGCGGAAAGUUUAGUGAACCUUAUCACUUAGAGGAAGGAGAAGUCGUAACG